CGGGGCAUGGUGUAAUGGCUAACAUUCACGCUUUGGGAGCGUGCGAUUCUGGGUUCGAAUCCCAGUGCCCCGACCA
This 76-nucleotide transfer RNA is filed under the name Candidatus Parcubacteria bacterium. RNAcentral describes it as "tRNA-Pro". It matches the Rfam family "tRNA". From Rfam's summary of the family: Transfer RNA (tRNA) molecules are approximately 80 nucleotides in length. Their secondary structure includes four short double-helical elements and three loops (D, anti-codon, and T loops). Further hydrogen bonds mediate the characteristic L-shaped molecular structure. tRNAs have two regions of fundamental functional importance: the anti-codon, which is responsible for specific mRNA codon recognition, and the 3' end, to which the tRNAs corresponding amino acid is attached (by aminoacyl-tRNA synthetases). tRNAs cope with the degeneracy of the genetic code in two manners: having more than one tRNA (with a specific anti-codon) for a particular amino acid; and 'wobble' base-pairing, i.e. permitting non-standard base-pairing at the 3rd anti-codon position. The record is from RNAcentral. RNAcentral also lists the same sequence under 1 other name. Lineage: Bacteria; Candidatus Parcubacteria.